This 795-nucleotide ribosomal RNA is filed under the name uncultured bacterium. RNAcentral describes it as "bacterial SSU rRNA". It matches the Rfam family "Bacterial small subunit ribosomal RNA", at positions 8 to 796 of the family's 1533-position model. The record is from RNAcentral.
AGAGUUUGAUCCUGGCUCAGGAUGAACGCUAGCGGCAGUAAUACAUGCAAGUCGAGGGGCAGCAGGGGUGUAGCAAUACACUCGCCGGCGACCGGCAAACGGGUGCGGAACACGUACGCAAUCUACCCAAAACUGAUGAAUAGCCCUCCGAAAGGAGGAUUAAUACAUCGUAACAUCUUAGAGUGGCAUCACUUUAUGAUUAUAGCUCCGGCGGUUUUGGAUGAGCGUGCGGCUGAUUAGGUAGUUGGUAUGGGUAACGGCCUACCAAGCCUGCGAUCAGUAACUGGUGUGAGAGCACGACCAGUCACACGGGCACUGAGACACGGGCCCGACUCCUACGGGAGGCAGCAGUAAGGAAUAUUGGUCAAUGGACGCAAGUCUGAACCAGCCAUGCCGCGUGAAGGAUGAAGGUCCUCUGGAUUGUAAACUUCUUUUAUAGGGGAAGAAACCCGGAAAUUCUUUUUCGGUUGACGGUACCCUGGGAAUAAGCACCGGCUAACUCCGUGCCAGCAGCCGCGGUAAUACGGAGGGUGCAAGCGUUAUCCGGAUUCACUGGGUUUAAAGGGUGCGCAGGUGGAUUUGUAAGUCCGUGGUGAAAUCUCCAAGCUUAACUUGGAAACUGCCGUGGAUACUAUAAAUCUUGAAUGCUGUGGAGGUGAGCGGAAUAUGUCAUGUAGCGGUGAAAUGCUUAGAUAUGACAUAGAACACCAAUUGCGAAGGCAGCUCACUACCCAGAUAUUGACACUGAGGCACGAAAGCGUGGGGAUCAAACAGGAUUAGAUACCCUAGUAGUCC